This 521-nucleotide long non-coding RNA is filed under the name Oncorhynchus kisutch (coho salmon). RNAcentral describes it as "lncRNA (ENSOKIG00005041093.1)". The record is from RNAcentral. Lineage: Eukaryota; Metazoa; Chordata; Actinopteri; Salmoniformes; Salmonidae.
AGCUAACAGCUUGGACAAGAAACCAAGAAAUCUAACCAGCAUAGCUAGCUAAGUGGCUAACCACCUGUCGUCACACUUUAUUAUAGCUAGCUAGCUAAUGUAAGUGUAGAUUUGGUGCAGAAAGCCAGGUUAAGUUGUUGGGAACAUGAAAAUGUAUCCAAACAACAGUCAACCUUCGCUAGUGCUCAUAAACAUAUGUAUCUUGGGAAUUUAAUUCAAUUGACCCCAAACUUGCCUAUUUGAUGACACUGAAAUUGUCCCACAGGAACUGAAUGAAGCCUUGGAAGGACACUCUGACAAUGCAGAAUGGUUCUGCCAACGAGCCUACGCCCAACUUCAACUGAAAAACUACAGCUGAGCUGUCAACAAUGCCAAGAAAUCCCAGCAGCUCAACCCCAGCCUUCUUCUUGCCUUCAUGAGAAUGGGAAUGGCAGAGUAGCACCUGAACCACUUUGAGGUGUCACAUGCUGCCUUCACGAAGGGACACAGCCUGGAUGGUUCAGAUGACACUUUCCGAACGU